This 154-nucleotide unclassified non-coding RNA is filed under the name plant metagenome. RNAcentral's name for it is "partial contains small subunit ribosomal RNA and internal transcribed spacer 1". The record is from RNAcentral.
AAAGUCAGUAACAAGGUUUCCGUAGGUGAACCUGCGGGAAGGAUACAAUUAGGAUGUGCGGCCAGAACUUUUUCCUAUUCAUACACCUGUGCACCGUGGUCUCCGGACCUACAAACAUUGAGUCAUGAACGUAGUCUUAUUGUAACCAGUAAAA